ACUCCUACGGGAGGCAGCAGUGGGGAAUUUUGCGCAAUGGGCGAAAGCCUGACGCAGCAACGCCGCGUGAGUGAUGAAGGCCUUUGGGUCGUAAAGCUCUGACAGAGGGAAAGAAAUGCAGGGGAGCUAAUAUCUCCCUUGCUUGACGGUACCCUCAAAGGAAGCACCGGCUAACUCCGUGCCAGCAGCCGCGGUAAUACGGGGGGUGCAAGCGUUGUUCGGAUUUAUUGGGCGUAAAGCGCGUGUAGGCGGUUUUAUAAGUCUGAUGUGAAAGCCCUGGGCUCAACCCGGGAAGUGCAUUGGAUACUGUAAGACUUGAAUACGGGAGAGGGCAGUGGAAUUCCUAGUGUAGGAGUGAAAUCCGUAGAUAUUAGGAGGAACACCGGUGGCGAAGGCGGCUGCCUGGACCGAUAUUGACGCUGAGACGCGAAAGCGUGGGUAGCAAACAGGAUUAGAUACCCUGGUAGUCCACGCCGUAAACGAUGAGAACUAGGUGUCGCGGGUA
This 505-nucleotide ribosomal RNA is filed under the name uncultured Geobacter sp. RNAcentral's name for it is "bacterial SSU rRNA". It matches the Rfam family "Bacterial small subunit ribosomal RNA", at positions 335 to 831 of the family's 1533-position model. Lineage: Bacteria; Pseudomonadati; Thermodesulfobacteriota; Desulfuromonadia; Geobacterales; Geobacteraceae. The record is from RNAcentral.